Molecule: non-coding RNA, 205 nt
Organism: Paramuricea clavata
Lineage: Eukaryota; Metazoa; Cnidaria; Anthozoa; Malacalcyonacea; Plexauridae
Source: the annotation of a GenBank genome assembly
GCGCAUUUGCGGAAAUAUUAUUCCAUAUUAUAUACCAUAUUAUAUAGUUUCAUUUUUUGAAGUUAAUCGUCAUUAUGUCUACUGAAUAUUUACAUAAUUAUGCAUGUAUACACUCAAAAUUCCACAUAAACAAACCCCUUCAACAGAGAAUUGAGCAUCCAUUCAUCAAAUAAUUCCACUUCACCUACCUUUUGUAGUAUUCCAC